This 463-nucleotide ribosomal RNA is filed under the name uncultured bacterium. RNAcentral's name for it is "partial 16S ribosomal RNA". It matches the Rfam family "Bacterial small subunit ribosomal RNA", at positions 28 to 506 of the family's 1533-position model. The record is from RNAcentral.
GACGAACGCUGGCGGCGUGCUUAACACAUGCAAGUCGAACGGAAAGGCCCAGCUUGCUGGGUGCUCGAGUGGCGAACGGGUGAGUAACACGUGGGUGAUCUGCCCCUAACUUCGGGAUAAGCUUGGGAAACUGGGUCUAAUACCGGAUAGGACAAUCGUUUAGUGUCGGUUGUGGAAAGUUUUUUCGGUUAGGGAUGAGCCCGCGGCCUAUCAGCUUGUUGGUGGGGUAAUGGCCUACCAAGGCGUCGACGGGUAGCCGGCCUGAGAGGGUGGACGGCCACAUUGGGACUGAGAUACGGCCCAGACUCCUACGGGAGGCAGCAGUGGGGAAUAUUGCACAAUGGGCGCAAGCCUGAUGCAGCGACGCCGCGUGGGGGAUGACGGCCUUCGGGUGGUAAACCUCUUUCGACAGGGACGAAGCUUUGGUGACGGUACCUGUAUAAGAAGCACCGGCGAACUACGU